GAAAAUCAUGCAGGGUAGUGGGCGCUAGAGUGGAAUGGUGACCGUCAAUGUUUACUCAGUCUCUGUUCAUCGAGUCGGGCUGAUGUAGAUGAGAUGGGAGAGGCAGGCAGGGAUGAGGGCAUUCAUAGAGCUCUGUGUAGUGACAGUUCUUGCUUGGCUUUAUUAGUUUGCAGUGGAAUUGUCCAGGAGCCCCAGCCGGAUGAGAAUGUCAGAAGUGGAACUGAGCAGCCUGGAUAUCCUUCUAAGGAAACAAGAAUAGUUCUCAGGUUUCUGCCUUCUGCAUAACUGACUUACCAAGCAAAAAGACGUCACAUGUCAAAGUCUACUGCCCUUAUGAGUGAGAGUGACGAGACUGCGAGCGUUGUUGGUGCCAGGCAGGAGCUGUCCCUCUGGGAGCAGAACAGCUGCUACUAUCACUGAGAUAAGUAUCUGUUUUGCUGAGGGUUCUGCUCACGGCCCACCUGGCUACAGGUAGAGACACCCCGUUAGGUGGGGCUGGGUUUGUAAGAAAAGGUUCCUGACUAGCUGUGGUUUUGAGGGAGACACGGUCCCCAUUUUCAGCGACUGAUCAUUUCUCUGGCCAGGAUCGGUGUGUCCUCGGCAGGAGAAGGUUAGAUCCAUGAGGGAUGACUCCAGGUGAGGAAUUGUCCAGGAGCAGCAGCUGAAGGAGAAAGCGGCAGACGCAGACCUGAG
This is a long non-coding RNA of Mauremys mutica (yellowpond turtle), 693 nucleotides long. RefSeq lists it as uncharacterized. The record is from RefSeq and is a predicted model, not a curated record. Lineage: Eukaryota; Metazoa; Chordata; Testudines; Geoemydidae. The transcript is spliced from 3 exons.